Molecule: ribosomal RNA, 238 nt
Filed under: uncultured bacterium
Lineage: Bacteria
Description: partial 16S ribosomal RNA
Rfam family: Bacterial small subunit ribosomal RNA
Source: RNAcentral
GACGAACGCUGGCGGCGUGCUUAACACAUGCAAGUCGAGCGACUGCAUUCUUUUCGGAGGGUGUAUGGAGCGGCGAACGGGUGAGUAACACGUGAGUAAUCUGCCUUUGGCUUGGGAAUAACUUCGGGAAAUCGGGGCUAAUGCCUGAUGUUUACUGUCUGCUGCAUGGUGGGUGGUGGAAAGAUUUUUUGGCCGAGGAGUNAGCUCGCGGUCUAUCAGCUUGNGGGUUGGGGGUGGA